This 184-nucleotide unclassified non-coding RNA is filed under the name uncultured Sebacina. RNAcentral's name for it is "sequence contains ITS1". The record is from RNAcentral. Lineage: Eukaryota; Fungi; Basidiomycota; Agaricomycetes; Sebacinales; Sebacinaceae.
AUGAUUGCGAAUGGUUGCCUUCAGUGCUGGCUUGUAUGAGCAAGUGCACAUUGGUGGCUUUUCAUCCAAUACCACACCCUUGUGAACCAUUAGCCUCUUGCUAGCCAGCUUUGGUUGGCAGAGGAUUUUUAACACACACACUCGAAUGUAAUGAAAACUAUUGUUGUGCACACGCACUAAUGUA